Long non-coding RNA from Populus nigra (black poplar), 1565 nucleotides. RefSeq lists it as uncharacterized. The transcript has 2 exons. NCBI's taxonomy places the organism in Eukaryota, Viridiplantae, Streptophyta, Magnoliopsida, Malpighiales, Salicaceae. The record is from RefSeq and is a predicted model, not a curated record.
GAACUGUUCAUUACGCCACAAAUCUUCAAUGCUGACACCACUCCAUCUUAGCUCAAGCACUGCAGUUACAAUGAUAGAGAUAAAGAGGCCAAGAAACAGCAUGCUUGCCAGGUUUGAGAGCUGGAUCAAUGACAAGGAUGUGAAAAGGAAGACAAUAGAAGUUACCGUUGGUAUGAUGAAUUUUCCAGUGAGCAGACAAACUGCAGGAAUUGUGCAGUAAGCAAUGAGAGGGAGGGAUGUAAAUGGAUAAACAAUGGUGUUUAUAUAUGCAAGCCUUUGGAGCCAUUUAAGACGGCCUCCUCCAUACCCGUACCAGAGGGGACAAUGUCUACUAAAGAAAAUUUCCACAGAUCCAAGAGCCCAUCGGAGAACCUGGUGCAGUCUAUCAGACAGAUUGAUGGGUGCAGAUCCUUUGAAUGCUGGCCUUACGGGCAUGCAGUAUAUUGAUCUCCAUCCUCGGCAGUGCAUCUUGAAUCCACUUAAGAUAUCCUCAGUGACCGACCCAUAUAUCCAACCAAUCUGAGAGGACACAAAAAAAGGUUUAAUAUUGACAAUCUAAAUAUCAAAUAGGUUCAAACUGAUCAAUUUUUAUUUCAACAGAGCAUAAUUCAUACUUAAAUGCUAACGAAAUAGAAAAGGUCAAAGAAAGUUCCAACUAAGCAACCGAGAAUGUAUGGUUUAAAUGACAAACUAGAGUAGAAAAUGUCAUGAAAGCCCACAUUGGCUCUGGCUUGCUAGUGAAGUAACAAAAGAUAAUUCAGAAAUGAUGAGAGUGGAAUCUGAUUAACCAUACUAGGUAUUCGAUGAAGAGAAUAUAAAUUCUGUUAAAAGAAAUUGUCUUUUCUUGUUAAAAAAUAGCUCUGAAGGUUUGGAGUAAGGGAUGGAAGCUUAACCUCUUUUCCCCAUUCAGUCUUCUCUUCAAAGCCACAGCCGAUGACAUGAAUAGCUUCCUUGAUGAGUGUUGAUGAAUUGGCAGACUCAGGUACUCCUCCAUUCUCCAUUAGUGUAGACUCAAUGAAGACAGAAGAUAAGCCAAAAGUUUUCUCAAAGCUCAACUGGGAGAUCAGCAUUGACCUCUCAUACUCAUCAUAAUCUGCAAGAGAAAAAACCCCAACAUAACUCGGCGAUUCAAAAUUCUGUUAGCCAGUCAUCUAACCCAACUAUCUUACAAAAUUUAAACUUACUAUCAAUCUCUGUAAGAUUGAAUAUGGCAGCAUUGAGAUCCUCUCGUUUUGCAUCUUUGUAAACCUCAGCUGGAUCCUGAGCGGGCUUCUUCUUUGUGGGGCAGCAACAUGAGAAGCAGGAUGAAGACUCCUUGCCCUUGCGUAAGCGGGGCAUAGAAGGAGGCCCAUAUCCGUAAAGUGCUUGCCUAUUGAAAACACAACCAGUUCCCACAUACAUUGGUCCUUGAAUGCCAUCCAAUCCUUUCAUGUUAACCUGAAAAUAGAAUGGAAAGGAUUGUCAAAAUUCAAAAAGCUCUUAUUUAUCCAUAAACUACAGAAGCAAAGAUCUUAUGGCAAUGUUAUAUUAUUUCUACAGUCAGUAAAUUAUUGCCUAAUUUUUCA